GACGAACGCUGGCGGCGUGCUUAACACAUGCAAGUCGAGCGGAAAGGCCCUUCGGGGUACUCGAGCGGCGAACGGGUGAGUAACACGUGAGUAACCUGCCCCAGACUUUGGGAUAACCCUCGGAAACGGGGGCUAAUACCGGAUACGACACAGCUUCGCAUGGGGUCUGUGUGGAAAGUUUUUCGGUUUGGGAUGGGCUCGCGGCCUAUCAGCUUGUUGGUGGGGUGAUGGCCUACCAAGGCGACGACGGGUAGCCGGCCUGAGAGGGCGACCGGCCACACUGGGACUGAGACACGGCCCAAACUCCUACGGGAGGCAGCAGUGGGGAAUAUUGCACAAUGGGCGGAAGCCUGAUGCAGCGACGCCGCGUGAGGGAUGACGGCCUUCGGGUUGUAAACCUCUUUCAGCAGGGACGAAGCGUAAGUGACGGUACCUGCAGAAGAAGCGCCGGCCAACUACGUG
Molecule: ribosomal RNA, 462 nt
Filed under: uncultured bacterium
Lineage: Bacteria
Description: partial 16S ribosomal RNA
Rfam family: Bacterial small subunit ribosomal RNA
Source: RNAcentral